Molecule: long non-coding RNA, 1391 nt
Organism: Diceros bicornis minor
Lineage: Eukaryota; Metazoa; Chordata; Mammalia; Perissodactyla; Rhinocerotidae
Exons: 3
Source: RefSeq, a predicted model, not a curated record
GAUGUUUCCGUUUUUUUCUGGUGUAGAGCUCAAUGUGUGCUGACUGAUUUCAGCUUGAAACCACGUCUGAAAAAGAAAUUUCCCCGGAAUUCACCUUCUUGCAACAUCGGGGAAAACCCUGCUCGCAGCGCCACCGUGCGGCGAGUGGAGUCCAGGAUGAGGAGUGAGCUCGAGUCACUGCUCGCUUCUGGAAAACUGCCACACAGCCGGCACCCAGCAGUAGCCGCCUGGGUGGAAGCUUGUUCCCUCCUGCGGUCCCAACGCGUUUAUAUUACCCGGGUGCUUGUGUUUCAAUGUUCCGGUUGCAUAAAGCCUGUUCUCUAGUGAGUCUCAGGUGCACCCCCAAUCUCCUCCAUGAGCCCCUGUCCCCUGGCCCUGGCCCAGCCUCCGCGUGUGCAGGAGGAACAGCGAACACCCACGGGCCCGGUCAGAGGCCCUCAGGGCUCAGCUCCCAGGACAAGCAGAGGGAGCAUAAAACUACUAGGUGAGUGCUCAGUGGCUGAAGAGAGCCUGGGAUGGUGGGCAGUGAGCAAGAGCUUCUGCAGAAUCUUCCAGAACGGCCGGUGAAAGAGAAGACGGCCCACAGAAGAGGAAGUAUGGCCCAUAAACAAAACUGCUCAACUGCCGUGGUCGGGAAACAAAGACAGAAACAGAAGUGAGGUUGUUUCCCACCGCCACUGGACAGGCCACACUGGACAGCAGAGGGAGGCCCAGCGCUGCGGGACGCGGAUCAGGGGCCACUUACACCUGGUUAUGUCAGUUGUGCACGGCACGUUUGGUUGAAGAUAGAUUUUACAGGAAAUCAUCCGGAAGGAAGGAUCCGCGCACUUACUGGAAUCUAAUCACAGCACCCCCCUGCUCCAGGCACCUCCCAGCUCCAUCUCCCCUGCUGGCCUCCCCUCCCCGGAUCCCGGCCUCAGUCAUCCCCACUCCUCUGGGCUUGGGGGGGUAACCAGAACUAGCACAAAUUAGUGUAAUUUUUCUAGAGAGAAAUUUGGCAAUAUGUGUCAAAAAUUUUAAAAUUGCAUACCUUUUGGCCUAGAGUAAUUCCACUGUAAGACUCUGUGGGGAGGGAUGGGGGGCAACUACUGGAAAUCAUCAAAAUGCACCAUUGCCUGUCUGCAUGUGGGCCAGAGCUAAGAGGGGCCUUCACACUGUACAAUCGGAAAAACAAACCAACAAAUAAAGAAGGUGUAUGAGCUGUCUCUCCCGGGAAUUCAAGGUCCAGACAUCAAGAUCCAGCCUCGCAAGGCCAAAUGCAGGCUGCAGAUGAAAACGAACCAGAAAAGUCCAGACAGUCAAGGGAAAGAAAUUCAGUCUUCAAGACCAAAUGCAGGCUGGUGGGAAGGUGCCAACCAGCAUGGCCACAUGCUCCCCCUCCCCUCCCUAAA